AAUAGAUACCCAGGUAGUCCACGCCCUAAACGAUGUCAACUAGUUGUCGGGUCUUAAUUGACUUGGUAACGCAGCUAACGCGUGAAGUUGACCGCCUGGGGAGUACGGUCGCAAGAUUAAAACUCAAAGGAAUUGACGGGGACCCGCACAAGCGGUGGAUGAUGUGGAUUAAUUCGAUGCAACGCGAAAAACCUUACCUACCCUUGACAUGGCAGGAAUCCUGAAGAGAUUUGGGAGUGCUCGAAAGAGAACCUGCACACAGGUGCUGCAUGGCUGUCGUCAGCUCGUGUCGUGAGAUGUUGGGUUAAGUCCCGCAACGAGCGCAACCCUUGUCAUUAGUUGCUACGAAAGGGCACUCUAAUGAGACUGCCGGUGACAAACCGGAGGAAGGUGGGGAUGACGUCAAGUCCUCAUGGCCCUUAUGGGUAGGGCUUCACACGUCAUACAAUGGUACAUACAGAGGGCCGCCAACCCGCGAGGGGGAGCUAAUCCCAGAAAGUGUAUCGUAGUCCGGAUUGGAGU
Molecule: ribosomal RNA, 522 nt
Filed under: uncultured bacterium
Lineage: Bacteria
Description: bacterial SSU rRNA
Rfam family: Bacterial small subunit ribosomal RNA
Source: RNAcentral